UUAGCUCUCUUUGCCUUUUGGCUUAGAUCAAGUGUAGUAUCUGUUCUUUUCAGUUUAAUCUCUGAAAGAUGUCUAAGGACAUCAAUCGUGAUUAUUCCUAUUUUUGGCUUUCGGGCAGUUUCCUCUGUGCUUGCACAUGAUUCUGCCCACAGUGUCCCUGGUAUUACACUGCCUCCAGGUGACGCGAACACUA
This is a small nuclear RNA of Fusarium oxysporum f. sp. lycopersici 4287, 193 nucleotides long. It matches the Rfam family "U2 spliceosomal RNA". Rfam says of the family: U2 is a small nuclear RNA (snRNA) component of the spliceosome (involved in pre-mRNA splicing). Complementary binding between U2 snRNA (in an area lying towards the 5' end but 3' to hairpin I) and the branchpoint sequence (BPS) of the intron results the bulging out of an unpaired adenosine, on the BPS, which initiates a nucleophilic attack at the intronic 5' splice site, thus starting the first of two transesterification reactions that mediate splicing. NCBI's taxonomy places the organism in Eukaryota, Fungi, Ascomycota, Sordariomycetes, Hypocreales, Nectriaceae. The record is from Rfam.